Molecule: long non-coding RNA, 741 nt
Organism: Ostrea edulis (European flat oyster)
Lineage: Eukaryota; Metazoa; Mollusca; Bivalvia; Ostreida; Ostreidae
Exons: 2
Source: RefSeq, a predicted model, not a curated record
UCUGAGUAUACUGGGUCACUGAGAGGGCAAUCCGGAUUGUAUAUCGUUGUUGGUUUUACUAUUACAAUGUAUUCCGGAAAAGACCGGGUUGGGGUUUGAGUGUUAAUAAAAAUGACAGACGUUGAGUAGCAUGUGUUUUGACUUUGUGAUAAGUGAUCGCAAUGUAGACUAUAUGCAUAAACACUCAGGACAGUAAAUGAGUGAUACAACAUUAUGUAAAUUUACCUAGUUUCACUGUCAUGAUCGUGUGUAGGAUUGGACAAAACAAGAUGGCAGACGGCAUUUCCAAACAAAGAUCCAGUCAGGAGCGGACUUCCUUAAGCUUAAAAGUUGCAAGUGAAUGAAGUGUGUUCUAUUUUAUGUCUCCUACUAAAACCAUGGUUUUGACAAACCUAAAAGAGCACGUGGAGCAAGGAACUAUCAGUAAGCCGGAAGAGCCAGCUCGAAAAUCUUUAAGUGUUUGAGAAUUUCACCGCGCACAUGAAUCUAAAGUUCUGCCACACGUUAGAAGGAGCCUUGUUCUCGAAGAUCAACGUGUUGAAAAGUCUUCAUUUUGCAGAAGCAAAUACAUUUAUAUUGUAUAUACACAUGUAAACCAUGUUCGAUUCCCAACCACUUAAGGUUUGUGAUAUCUGCAUGGAAUUAUUAAAACUGAGCAUGGUUUGACGUAUAAUAAUCUCUUCAGGCAUGAUGGUUUACAUUUCACAAAGCUGUUCAAUGACAAUAAAGACUAUAAGAUGU